AGACGCAGAGAACUGAAACAUCUAAGUACCUGCAGGAAGAGAAAGAAAAUUCGAUUCCCUGAGUAGCGGCGAGCGAAACGGGAAAAGCCCAAACCAACAAGCUUGCUUGUUGGGGUUGUAGGACUCCGAUAUGGUAGUUCUUUCAGAUAGUCGAAUGACUUGGAAAAGUCAGUCAAAGAGGGUAAAAACCCCGUAGACGAAAUGUGGAAGACACCUAGGAGGAUCCUGAGUACGGCGGAACACGAGAAAUUCCGU
RNAcentral lists this ribosomal RNA (255 nucleotides) under Enterococcus faecium. RNAcentral describes it as "partial 23S ribosomal RNA". It matches the Rfam family "Bacterial large subunit ribosomal RNA", at positions 181 to 437 of the family's 2925-position model. Lineage: Bacteria; Bacillati; Bacillota; Bacilli; Lactobacillales; Enterococcaceae. The record is from RNAcentral.